Molecule: long non-coding RNA, 2811 nt
Filed under: Gallus gallus (chicken)
Lineage: Eukaryota; Metazoa; Chordata; Aves; Galliformes; Phasianidae
Description: lncRNA (ENSGALG00010025766.1)
Source: RNAcentral
GGCCGGGAGGUCCCGCGGGCAGCUCCCGGUCCUGGCCGGGGGUUCCCGUCCCGGCUUCGCGCCGUUGGGCUCCUCGGAGCUCGGGGCCGGGUCAGAGCUUGGUCUCCACGCCGAGGCCGCCGGCAGGAGGGGAGCGGUGCUGAGAGGCCGAGGUGGAAGUGUGACUUAGAAUGGUGGCGGCCCCGCCACUUGGAUGGCGUGGAAGUCGCUCACCGCUCGCAGUACUGCCACGAGCGCUGUGGCCGGGAUGUGGGGAAGGGCCGUGAUGGUUCUCAGAGAUAGCGAGGCCUGCGGUUCUCCUUACGGCGGGAUCGAAGGAGGAGAAGGGCUGACAAGGUCAAGCAGGGGCUGUGCAGGUGGACUACAGGGCAGCGUCAACGCAAGAUUGUUUUAGGAUAUUAAUGCUUCCAGAAGCCUAAAUAGAUCUAAGCCAUCACCUAUUCCAAAUAAACCUGAAGUCACAUCAAAGACUGACAAGAACAAAACAAGUUUGUGCAGCAAGAUCAGUCUCCUCCAAAUCAGGCUGAUUGGCGUUAGCUGGAGAAUCUCAUAUCAGCUCUUCUCUUGCUUUGCCUAGAAAUUUUCAGGUCUUCUGUUUGCUCUUUACAAAUACCAGCACAGCACCGCUCUUCUCCCGUCUUCUGGGACAUCUGUGAAAUUCCAGAACUUAUUAACAAGUUGUUUUUUGAGCAACAGGACUGAGGAACCUGGCGUCCCUACGGAUUUGUUGCCUGUGUGUUCUAUACUUGCCAUGCCAUCAGCCAAGGUACCUUGAUGACACCCUUUCUGCAAUGCACCACAGCCCCUCGCCUGUAGCCGAUGCCUUGGGCUCCUCCUCCACCACUCUCCAGCACACACAGCUUCCUCAGUAUUUUCUGCUUAAUUUAUUUCAGCCUGCUGGCCAGACUGCUCUGACCAGCAGGGUUUUGCCCAGCAGCAUGGCCAUGGGGUCUCCUCCAGCACAUUCACCAGCAGCAUCUCUGUCUGGCUGCUGGUUCUCUCUCGUACAAGUUGUUGGAGCUUAUUUACCUUUCAGACUCUGCUUCAUUUGUCAAGCCCAGCUGAACGCGGCCCGUGGCAACUGAGAGAUGAGCAGAUGGACUGACGGACAGCAGAGCAACCGCAGGAGCCUCACUGCCCUCAGGACACAAAGCUAAAUCAGAGCAUUAGAGGUCCACUUGGCCUCAGGACUGGUGUAAAUAACCUCUACGUGAUGACUGUGCCAGGCAGAAAUAACAGUCUUGCAUCCUUCUGGGUGUGAUGGUGCAGAAGGUACGUUAUCGAUCGUGGUCCAAAUCUUGGCCAAAUACACAACAGAGGGAGUUGUCACAUUUCCAUCUUCGUUUUGUCAUCACAUCACCUUCACUCGCACACCCUCAGAAUAACACUUCUUGCUUAAUAUAUCUCUCAUCUUCCCUUUUCCACAGCCAUCCACCUGCACCAGCAACGGGGACUCAAAUGUCCCCGUUGUUUCCUGCUACCUUUCCUUUCAGCCCAUCCCAAGUGCCUCCUUUUGCCACUCUGCUUCUCCAGAGCCAUGCUCCCAAAGAAGCGUGCCUUUCCCUUUAUGUCAGGUGAGAGUGAUGUAAGCAUGACAUCAGCCCCUGCGCUUGCUGUUCCCAUCGCCUCAAUGCCUUUCCUGACUUCUCUUACACCUCCCAGGGUUUCCUUGAUCCCCACAGCAUCUUCCUCCUCCUCCUUCUCUUUCCUGCCUCUGGCUCUUUUACUUCCUUCUGCACUUUUGCUCUUCAGGGGGAUUUUCAGUGUUUGCGUCAUUUGGAUUUUCGCCCUUUAACUGACCUUUCCCUGGUUGAAUUUUCUCAACUGUUUUGUGCUUCCCAAUUAUUCUAAACACAUUCAUCAUAAUUUGAAAAGGUCAGAAGGAGCCCGCCUGGCUGAGGUAGCCCCUUCCAGAGCUUUCUGCCCUCGGCUCCCCCUGGACCCCAACCAUGACAAGUCUCCAGGCAGCACUGUGAUGCCCUGCCCUACCCUCUAGCCGCCCUGAGCAGCGGCGUGCCGGCACGUCCAGCCAGGCACAGUCACUGUCCCGAAUGCGAAAAUCCCAUGGACUCUCCCAAAGGCUUACAAAAGCCCUGAUGGGUGAAAGGUGUGCACGGUCCUGCUCACACGUGUGGGAACUGACGGAGGGCCUGACGGACAGCAGCAGCCCCAGUGCCCUAAGGUGUGUCGGAUGGCACAGCCUGUUCCAGGCAAUGCGCUGCACUCGGGCUGGGUACUGAGUGCCCGUUGGUCACCUGUGUCAGUUCCCGGUGCUGUGACAGGUUGCUUCAUAGAGCAGCGCCGUCUGUACUAUUUCCUGCUCUGUCAGGGUCAGUGACAGCCUUUCCUCAUCGCUUCAUGAUGAAAAGUUUGAUUGUUUCUGAGGAUCUGAGGAAAUUGCUUUCUGGCUCCCUCAUAUUUCAGACCCUGGAAGCUGCCUUGAUGCCUCCGACUUUCAUCUCCCACCCAGGGCUGCUCGGCGGCCGCCUCCUGAUUUGGCCUGUGCCUGCUGAUGGUGCUGAUGGUGGAGGGCGAAUCUCCCUGCAAAACGCGCGGCCCCUCCGAGGCACAUAAUCUUUUUGCUCUCAUUUCACCGCCACAUCCCUGCCAUCUCCAGACGCAUCCAUCGAUCCCCGGCAGAGACAGCUCGGGGACCCGCGGGGCGAUCCCGUGGCCGGAGCGGACCCCGCUCUGCUCCCGCAGCACCCGCUCUGUGUUCCACUCGGCCCACGCGUGGGCGCCUCGGCUCUGCCCGCGGGGCUCCCCCGGUCCCACGCCGGCCGCGGCUAAGGCCCCGGGCCCGGAGCUCGG